RNAcentral lists this ribosomal RNA (374 nucleotides) under Heterodrilus chenianus. RNAcentral's name for it is "partial 12S ribosomal RNA". The record is from RNAcentral. Lineage: Eukaryota; Metazoa; Annelida; Clitellata; Tubificida; Naididae.
CCAUGAAUAUAAAAGUGGCAACUAAUAACUAACAGUUAAAAAGUCAAAGAACAUGGCGGUGUUUAUUACUUUCAGGGGAACCUGUCUCUUAAUUCGACUCUCCACGACAACCUUGCCACCCCUUUCUACUGCCUGUAUAUUGCCGUUUAAACAGUAUCAAUCUAAAAAUUAUACAAACACAAACUCACUGUCUACCUCAGGUCAAAAUGCAGCACAUGGGGUGGGGAAGAUGGGUUACACCAAUUAAUACUUACCGGAAUCCAUAACCAAACUCACCGAUAAAGUUGAACUUGACAGUAUACCUAAACAACCACUUUCGUAGAAAUAAUACCAAUAUACACGCACAAAUCGCCCGUCACUCUCACUAAGANUUC